AGUCGUUACAAAGGGCGUACGGUGGAUGCCUUGGGAGAAGAUGCCGAUGAAGGACGUAGGAGGCUGCGAUAAGUGUCGGGGAGGUGCCAACCAACCUGUGAUCCGGCAAUGUCCGAAUGGGGUAACCCCCUGCUGAAGAGGCAGGAUCCCCCGCUGAGAUGCGGGUGUGAAGGGAACCGGCUGAACUGAAACAUCUUAGUAAGCCGAGGAAUAGAAACAGAUAUGCAUUCCCCUAGUAGUGGCGAGCGAACGGGGAGAAGCCUAAACCAUUCUCGUAAGAGGGUGGGGUUGCACGACAGGAGUUGCAUUUGCAGCUUGAGCUCAACGAACGAAUUGAUAGCGUAAGGUCCCUGGAACGGGCCGCCGAAGAGGGUGAGAGCCCCGUGGGCGAAAUCAAUCUCUGCUCAAGUCCUGUUCGUAAGUACCACAAGACACGUGAAAUCUUGUGGGAAUCCGGCGUGAUCACACGCCAAGGCUAAAUACAUCUUCUCACCGAUAGUGAACAAGUACCGCGAGGGAAAGGUGAAAAGUACCCUGAAUAAGGGAGUGAAAUAGUACCUGAAACCAUACGCCUACAAGGAGUCGGAGCCGUGUUUCACACGGGGGAAUUCAGUUUGCGUGGGAGCGAAAGCUACCAAACAGUCUAUUAAAAAACAUGACUGCCCCACCCAUUGAAUUCUCUCGUGUGGAACAUGGUGACGGCGUGCCUUUUGAAGAAUGAGCCAGCGAGUUACUGGGUUCGGCGAGGUUAAGCGCUUUUGGCGCGGAGCCGUAGCGAAAGCGAGUCCGAAUAGGGCGCUUUAGUCGUUCCUAGUAGACCCGAAACCGAGUGAUCUAACCAUGGGCAGGGUGAAGUCUUGGUAAAACAAGAUGGAGGCCCGAACCCACUGUUGUUGCAAAAACAGGGGAUGACCUGUGGUUAGGGGUAAAAUGCCAAUCGAACUCGGCGAUAGCUGGUUCUCCCCGAAAUAUAUUUAGGUAUAGGCGUGGAUAAAAAACACAGAGGGGUAGAGCACUGGAUGGGCCUCGGCGCCGCAAGGGGUCGGGUUCAAAUAAACUCCGAAUACUCAUGUGUGUUCUCCACGACUCAGUCCGUGAGGGCUAAGCUUCACGGUCGAGAGGGAAACAACCCAGACCGCCAGCUAAGGUCCCUAAAUUACUGCUCAGUGGACAAGGUAGUUGGAGAGCCUAGACAACCAGGAUGUUGGCUUAGAAGCAGCCAUACAUUUAAAGAGUGCGUAACAGCUCACUGGUCUAGUCGGUUUUCCUGCGCCGACAAUUUAACGGGGCUAAGCAGUAUACCGAAGCUGCGGAUGUAGUAUGUAAAUAUUACGUGGUAGGGGAGCGUUCCAGUUGCAGUGAAGCCCAGGUGUAAACCGAGGUGGAGCGACUGGAAGUGAGAAUGCUGGCCUGAGUAACGAAUUAGGCAGGUGAGAAACCUGCCCACCGAAUGUCCAAGGUUUCCUCCGCAACGGUAAUCGACGGGGGGUUAGACGGUCCUAAGGCCUGAGUGGCUCGAUGGAUAGCAGGUUAAUAUUCCUGCUCUCACGCGUCUUUGCUUGCUCUGACGCCCAAUUAGGGUUCCUGGGGAGGUUGGAUCAAACCAGGAAAUGAAUGAGGGACGAGAAAAAGAGCAACGCUUAGGGCGCGGGAACCGUACCGCAAACCGACGCAGGUGGACAGCUCGAGAAGAGUAAGGUGAUCGAGAGAAUCCUCCUAAAGGAACUCGGCAAAAAAGCGGCCGUAACUUAGGGAUAAGGCCUGCCCCGACUUGUCGGGGCCGCAGCGAAAGUAAUCCGGGCGACUGUUUACCAAAAACUUAGCUCUCUGCUAACCCGUAUAGGGGUCGUAUAGGGAGUGAUGCCUGCCCAGUGCCAGUCGGUUACGGUGAGGGGUGAUUCCACCGCAAGGUGGAUGAGCCUCGAACUUAAGCCCUGGUGAACGGCAGCGGUAACUAUAACCGUUCUAUGGUAGCGAAAUUCCUUGUCAGGUAAGUUCUGACCCGCACGAAUGGCAUAACGGUCUGGAUACUGUCUCUAGGAGGAUCUCGGUGAAAUGACACUACCGGUAAAGAUGCCGGUUACCCGCAACAAGACGGAAAGACCCCGUGGAGCUUUACUACAGCUUGUCAUUGUGUACGUUUUUUAGAUGUGUAGGCUAGGUGGGAGCUUCGGCGAAAGAUGAAACACCACCCUUCUGAAUGAUGUGCACUAACCUGUCAAAAGUAUGGGGACAGUGGCUGGUAGGUAGUUUGACUGGGGCGGUCGCCUCCCAAAAGGUAACGGAGGCGUACAAAGGUUGGCUAGCGUUGUAUGGAAAGCAACGUGAUAGGGCAAACCCAUAAGCCAGCUUGACUGUAAGGCCUACAAGCCGAGCAGGGACGAAAGUCGGUGUUAGUGAUCCGGUCCGAACGUGUGAGAGUCGGACCGCUCAACGGAUAAAAGCUACCCCGGGGAUAACAGGCUGAUUUUGCCCAAUAGUCCACAUAGACGGCAAAGUUUGGCACCUCGAUGUCGGCUCAUCGCAUCCUGGGACUGCAGCAGGCCCCAAGGGUUGGGCUGUUCGCCCAUUAAAGCGGUACGCGAGCUGGGUUCAGAACGUCGCGAGACAGUUCGGUCCUAAUCUGUUGUGGGCGUUGAAUUUUGAGGGAGGCUGCUCCUAGUACGAGAGGACCGGAGCGGACGAACCGCUGGUGUACCAGCUGUCCUUCCAAGGGCAUUGCUGGGUAGCUACGUUCGGUCGGGAUAACCGCUGAAAGCAUAUAAGCGGGAAGCCCAUCCCAAGAUUAGAAUUCUUAGACCCCUUGAAGACUACAAGGUUGAUAGGCGUCAGGUAGAAGUCCCGUAAGGGAUGUAGCCGAGACGUACUAAUCGGUCGCAACGACUUCUUAG
RNAcentral lists this ribosomal RNA (2891 nucleotides) under groundwater metagenome. Its description in RNAcentral is "bacterial LSU rRNA". It matches the Rfam family "Bacterial large subunit ribosomal RNA". The record is from RNAcentral.